AUCGUUCCGUUUGAAUAUCAGCUUCCGUCUAGUUAUUUUACGUCUUUUGCGCUAUUGCCGAAUACGCCGAAUUCAAUAUCUAGUGGAAGAUACGCUGAUGCAUGUGUGUUAGUGCGUAUCGUUUUUGGCCAGUUUGGACGGAUCAAUCCUCUGUGAUCCACCGAAUUGGGCGGCAUUACAGUGUAACUGUAAAAUUCGUGUAAUAAGAAGUAUUGUUUGAGAAAGUUGUUCUUGGAUGGUGCAGAGCUGCAAAAAUAAAAAGCAAGAAAAUCAAAUCAGGACACGUGCACGCUAAUCAGUACAUUAAUUAACUACAAACUGGGUGUACUCCACGUUCGAGGAACUAGUUUCCGUACGGUAAAUGCGGAUUCUUUAUACAGAGUGUGAAAUCAUUUCCGGCGCAGCCAGUUAGCAUGGGAAAACAAUUCCGGCAACUUUCCGUCAAAUCUCCAAUGAGAGAUGACAUAGCUGAUGUGGCGUUUUAGAUUAAAGAAUCGUUUCCUACUCUCUCCAGUCUCUGGGUUGAAGAAAUGGCAACGCAAAGAAGGCGAAUGUAAGGAUAUUAAUACCUACAAAACUAGUAUCGGAGACGAUAUUAAUGCCUGGUUAAAAAUAUUACAUUUAUACCACAUCCAAGACUGGAUGAUCAUUCUAGUAGAAACAUAUGAUGUGAAAGGCCAAUAAGCUAUUACCUAGAACUACUGUUUUGGACAAAAUACGAAGUGGUUUUGCUGCCAAGACUGCUGAUAGAUGCUUUGCUGUAAUUAAUCCAAUCAAGUCUGAAUCGCGUUCUGCUGAAUCAUGGAGAGGCUUGAUUACGCGCAUUCGUCAUUUAAUGUUGACUACAUAUGAUAGAACUCUUUCGCGCUUUGAAGAUAUACGCGAGCAGAGAGAAAGACGAAACAAUCCUAACUGGAAUUUUUGCCAUUAUUUUUUCUUGCAGGAAGAAUUAGUAUUUGAACUAAAUCAUCAUCUAAGACUUCUUUUGGUCGAGUGUAAGGCGUCCUUGUUAGAUCUUAGAAGUUACUUGAAUAAUAAUAAUGAUAAUUUAGAAUAAUGGUCUGUACAUUUAUUAGUAAAGUAUGAUGAGAUAUAUUUAUUCAUCAAUAAAGAAAAAAUCUAACAAAAUACGAGAU
Ooceraea biroi (clonal raider ant) is the source of this 1136-nucleotide long non-coding RNA. RefSeq lists it as uncharacterized. Lineage: Eukaryota; Metazoa; Arthropoda; Insecta; Hymenoptera; Formicidae. The record is from RefSeq and is a predicted model, not a curated record.